Molecule: ribosomal RNA, 484 nt
Filed under: uncultured bacterium
Lineage: Bacteria
Description: partial 16S ribosomal RNA
Rfam family: Bacterial small subunit ribosomal RNA
Source: RNAcentral
AUUGAACGCUGGCGGAAUGCUUUACACAUGCAAGUCGAACGGCAGCACGGGGGCAACCCUGGUGGCGAGUGGCGAACGGGUGAGUAAUACAUCGGAACGUGCCCGGUCGUGGGGGAUAACGUAGCGAAAGUUACGCUAAUACCGCAUACGAUCUGAGGAUGAAAGCGGGGGACCUUCGGGCCUCGCGCGAUCGGAGCGGCCGAUGUCAGAUUAGGUAGUUGGUGGGGUAAAGGCCUACCAAGCCGACGAUCUGUAGCUGGUCUGAGAGGACGACCAGCCACACUGGGACUGAGACACGGCCCAGACUCCUACGGGAUGCAGCAGUGGGGAAUUUUGGACAAUGGGCGCAAGCCUGAUCCAGCCAUUCCGCGUGCAGGACGAAGGCCUUCGGGUUGUAAACUGCUUUUGUAUGGAACGAAAAGGCUCUGGCUAAUACCUGGGGCUCAUGACGGUACCGUAAGAAUAAGCACCGGCUAACUACGUG